UUUCACAUACCCAUAUCUUGCUUGAAAAUGAAAAUGUCGAAAAAUCGGCAACGCUUAAGCACAGAUUAUGUUCUUACCUGAAAGUUGUAUAAUAGGUCAAUUCACUCUAGUAUCAAAACUAACAGAACACUAUUGAAAUUAGUGAACGGCAAUUUGCCAUGUCGUGCGUGUGUAAGACGGAGACAACGAUUAUAUAGGUAGCGUCCUCUUAAGAUAAUAAAAACAUAUAAGCACCAAAAUAAAAUAAUUUAAUUCAUUAGCUAUUCCUGGAAUUAUUACGAUUGCAACAAUGCCGAUAACAACUACAGCGCGAUGGAAAAUAUAUGCGAAUGUAUUUAUUGUUAUGCGACCGGUUGUUACUUGUUCUAUACACCCGUAUGGGUUGCUCGUAAAAAUAGAACAAAUAUAAAAUUCUCACAAAUUAUAAUCAAUGUACAAUCCGUCGGGUUACAUUAAUACGCAUACGCUGUUUAUGUUGUCUGUUGAACACUGCUCUUAACGUACAACAGUAACUUCGUCGUUUUAAUUUGUUUUAAUGCAAUUUUAAAAAAUGGAACACCAACAAUAUCAUUACAAAUCAAACGGUACUAAAAACAAUGUUAAGUAAGUUUUUUAUAUAUUACGUGCACGUAUUUACUACCUAAGUAUGAACGUUUUUACCAAACUAGUUUUUUUUUACCAUUUAGAUAUUAUACUUGCUCCAGUCCAAAUGUCACCUGUAAUGGUACAAUUAAAAGGAAAAUUGAUGGAACAAUUGUUUGCGGUAAAUCACACACCCAUGAUCCAUUUCUUCAAACAAUUGAAAAAAAAAAAUUUCGGAAGGUACUUAUUGAUAGAGCAGAAUUCGAGACUCAACAUUUGAAAAUUAUCUAUGAUGAAGAAGCUAUCAGAAAUCCAAAUAUGGCUUACACCUAUCCUUGGACAUCAGCCGAGUCAUCAAUGCGUAAGGCAAGACGUGCACAUGUUCCAGUACUACCUGAAACUCUUAAUGCUUUGGGAGAGAUGUUGGAAGAACAGGAAAACUUGAUUCAGUGCAAGGGUCAUCGAUUUUUUCAGGAGUGUAUAGUAGAUGGCAAUGGGCAAGCUCAUGUUAUGUUUGCCUGUUCAGAGGUCAUCAAUGAUGUAAUUUUAAAUGAAGGUACGGAAUUGCAUGCUGAUGCAACUUUCAAAGUCAUACCAUCUAUGCCCAAAUGCCGGCAGUUGUUUAUAAUGCAUAUCAUUAUUCAAAAUCACUCUGUUCCAAUAUGUUAUAUUAUAAUGGAAAGUAAAACUCAAAAUGCUUAUCUAACGGUAUUAACGAGUUUUAAAAGUAUUUUUCCAAAUGUCAAGCCUUCAGUUAUAAUGACUGACUAUGAAGUUGGAUUAAAAAAUGCAUUUUCAAUUGUAUACCCUGAUGCCAUUUUAGUUUCGUGCUGGUUCCAUUAUGUACAGGCAAGUAUUUAGCAUAAUUCACUAUAUUAACGUUAAGAAUUAUUUUAAAACGUUUAUUCAUUUAUUAGAGUUUGUGGAAAAAUAUAAAAAGGUUGCAUUAUACAACAUACAUAAGGGACAAUGAACUAGCAAAAAAAUGUUUAAAAAUGGUGAUGGCACUUGCAUUGCUUCCUGCAGAACAAAUUGAGUUGGGCUUUCAAGACGUAAAGACAUAUGCUAGAAUGAAUAAUGUAAACUUGGCAAGGUUUUUCACUUAUUUUUCUAGGUAAUAUUUAUUAUGAAGUACAUUCUUAAAUAAUUUUAUUUCAAAUAAAAUGUGUAAAUAUAAAAAUUGUAAUAAUAAUGAUAAUAAUGUAAGCAUUGGAUAAACCGGACAGGGCCAAAUGUUUUUUCAGUAUACGGUCAAGCUAGGCGCACCAACAACAACAUUGAAAGCUUCCAUGGUAAAAUGAAAGAUAAGCUUCAAGUAUGUCAUCCGAAUCUAUGGAAAUUUCUGGAUCAUCUGAGUGGUUAUAGUAAAUUACAACAUAUUAUUAUUGAACAACUAUCAAGAGGGAUGCAAGUUACAAGAUCAGUGAAGACUAAAUAUAUCCUGAACUCUAAACGAAUAAAAAUAGCUUCAGAUCAACUAGAACUGGGAAUUUUGACCAGAAAUGAAUUUUUAGUGAAAUGCUCACAUACGGUUGAUGGUUAUAUUUUAAGAGAGGGUAAUUGGAACAGAAAUGUCAAUGGUAGGUUACUCACUUUUACUAAUAUUUGAAAAGAGACAGUGUGUAUUUUUUGUAUUUUGAUAAACUCAAAUAGUACUAAACCCAGUGUCAGCCUGGAUCAUUAUUGGGUUCUUAGCACAGUAGUUUUAAAUAGGCAGCUGUGCAAACAUUUUGAUUUUUUGAUUUGUAAAAGGUUAACUUAAAUUCCGAGAUACAAAUAUAAUUGAUAACUAGUUCCCAAAAUUAUACCUAUAUUAGUAUACUAGCUGUUACGCCCGACGUUGUCCAGGCCAAAUAUUUGUAUUUUUAAUAAAUAUAUUUGUACACAAUUUAUAUAUCAUAUUUCUUUCAAUUAUAACAUUAAUAUAAUAUAUAAUGAAUUGCAACCAUUUAGAUUGACAAAAAAAAAAUUAUUUUUCGUAUGCUAAAAAAAUCAUGUCUGAGCUCUUUACCUAUCUACAGCCUAUAUGAGUUGAAAAAUCAAGCUGCACUCUCCAAUUUUCAAGUAAAUAAUCUAUUGAAAUAACUUUUAUUGAAAAUGUUCCAGUCAUUUUUUGAGGCUAUUAAUUUCGGAUAAACCAACAUCAUUUUAGUUGUGCCUUUAACCCAAUUACGCCCGCCAAAAAAUUUAAAAAAAAACAUUUAGAUUGUAUAAGUGUAUCUUGGUUUUGGUGUACCUACUUAGGUACCUCAGUUCACAGAUAAAUUUGAGUAGCUUUGCGAACUAAAUCGACCAAGGUGAACAAUUCAUUUUUGGUGGAUUGGGUAUAGCAUACUUGGCACUUAGUAUAAAUCGAACGUGGUUCAAACUACUCUUUAAACAUUCCUGAUAUCUCAAAGAACCAUUCGAAAUUUUCACAAAAUCGGUCAAGUAGUUUUUGAGAACCUAUAUAUAAUAGCCACCAAUAUACAUAUUCAACUCUCAUAUUUGUUUUAAGAUAUAAUUUCUUUAUUCGAAACCAUAAGCGUGCAACAAUUUGAUGGAUACUUUUACCUCAUCUGCCAGAGUAACUAAUGGUAAACAUUUAAUAUACUAAUUUUUACUAAUUAUUUAUCCUAUAACCAAUAGCAACAAUUUAUAAACAAAAAUGUCUAUCGUAAAUGUCAAAAUUCCUAUUUGAGCACCUCCCGGGCCGGGGGUGUUUCUCUUCUAUAUUAUGCAUGUCAUAUAUAUAUAUAAACUUUCCUCUUGAAUCACUGUAUCAAUUAAAAAAACGCAUCAAAAUCCUUUUCAUAGUUUUAAAGAUCUAAGCAUACAUAAAGAAAAAGGGACUUUGUUUUAUAAUAUAUAAAACAUAUUGUUGGGCCCCCUACAGAAAACAAAACCCCAUCCUCCAGUGGUUGCUGGGUAGCCGGGUGGGCCAGACUGACACUGACUAAGGUAUUAUUGAAGUAGUUUUAAUCAUUAUUUAAAAAAAAUCAAGGAGAAAGUAUAACUUUAUACUUCUUAACAUGGAAUUCCAUCCCUGAACAUGAGCUAAACUUUUUAUAAGUAAAAGAUUGGGAUUAAUAAUAAACCGUUCAAUGACAGUAAAUCAGCGCCAUUUUCAACUGAAUAAUAUCUAUAAUUUUUUAUUUUUAGAUGAAUUUUUAUCUUCAGAUGAUGAUGACAUUGCUCCCUUACCAUUGCAACAAAUAAACGAACCAAACAUCGGUAAAGUAAAAUCUUUAUUAAUGUCUAUUCUUAUUUAUUUUUAUUUUUAGUUAGCUAAUAAGGUGUACUUGA
Molecule: RNA transcript, 3867 nt
Organism: Acyrthosiphon pisum (pea aphid)
Lineage: Eukaryota; Metazoa; Arthropoda; Insecta; Hemiptera; Aphididae
Exons: 4
Source: RefSeq, a predicted model, not a curated record